CCUGUGGAUGAAUCAGGUGAUGAAGUUCAGUAUGGAGAUGUGCCUGUGGAAAAUGGAAUGGCACCAUUCUUUGAGAUGAAGCUGAAACAUUACAAGAUCUUUGAGGGAAUGCCAGUAACUUUCACAUGUAGAGUGGCUGGAAAUCCAAAGCCAAAGAUCUAUUGGUUUAAAGAUGGGAAGCAGAUCUCUUCAAAGAGUGAUCACUACACCAUUCAAAGAGAUCUCGAUGGGACCUGCUCCCUCCAUACCACAGCCUCCACCCUAGAUGAUGAUGGGAAUUACACAAUUAUGGCUGCAAACCCUCAGGUAAAGAAGGGUAUAGGUCUGGGCUCAGUUCUGUGUCUAGUGCUUACAGGCAUUUGAUUGGACAAAGGAACUAUUUAAAAGGUGAAGUUAAGACGUUUCUUUGAUUUAUGAAACUAUUUUUCCAAAUUCUACAUCCAUCUUGGUUUCAGAGGAUAGAAAAAUUCUUUGUUUCAUGAAUAUUUAUUCCAUCAGGUGUUAUUCUACUCCUUCCACAAAUAUUAUUAAGGGUCUAAUAUGUACACACUUUCUAUGUGGGUGAUGGGGUUGCAGUAGUAGACUGGACAAAGUCCUAUGGUAAAAAAUAAGCAAUUAACAAAUAAUAUAACUUCAGGUAGGAUUACAUGAAGAAAA
This 657-nucleotide small RNA is filed under the name Pongo abelii (Sumatran orangutan). Its description in RNAcentral is "retained intron". Lineage: Eukaryota; Metazoa; Chordata; Mammalia; Primates; Hominidae. The record is from RNAcentral.